Silurus meridionalis is the source of this 333-nucleotide long non-coding RNA. RefSeq lists it as uncharacterized. The transcript is spliced from 3 exons. NCBI's taxonomy places the organism in Eukaryota, Metazoa, Chordata, Actinopteri, Siluriformes, Siluridae. The record is from RefSeq and is a predicted model, not a curated record.
ACGCAGCUUUCAGUACAAUUCCCGCUUUCUUCUGUGCGAUUCGCUGAUACGUCUGACAAACCGUCCUCUGAUUGGAUAGUCUAAAGGGCGGGAUGUUAUAUGGACCAAUCAUAACACAAAAGACCGGAUUGCAGAAGGAAACAUGUGCCAGAUGCCUAUCAGCCGGAAAACGACACGUCACCGUUGACGUUUUACAGCGGUCAGCAUCGCUCUCGUCACUCAGGGGGAACUCUCUACACUCACGCUGUGUGUUGUAACUCUUUACGUCCAUGGGACACUCCUGGUUUAAAAUCGCCUGCAGGAAAAAUAUCACAUGAAUAAGCAUAGCCUAAA